UGUAACUGAGAUGUUUUAUGAUGAUGUUUAAAAUAUUUAUAUCAAUAUGGAGCAUCUCUACUCUGAAGAUCUAAAGUGCUCCAAAUCUGAAGCUUUCUGUGCAUGGUUAUGAUGCCACAAAGUGAUGCUUUCUGAUCGACAUCCACGUUUUGCUUCAUGCACAGAAUUAUUUAAAAUACUAUCUUAAGAUUAUGUUCAGGCUGUGUGUCGAAGGUGUGUAUGAGACAAAAUGGAUUUCAUGUUUAGACUUGGAUCUCUUCCCCAGGGUAUUAUGUUUGUGCAGCUAUUCCAGAUUGUGAAAAAAUAAAAAAAAAUCUGAAAGAUUUCUCCUCUCAAGGAUUUCAUAUGAGACACUAGGCCUGUGUUUCUUUUUAAAAUUGGUUUGAAGAAAAUAUAUUGAUGUUGCUCUUGAGUUCCUCAUCUGUAGUGUGAAGGGAUUGUGUAUGGUAUCUUAAGCUCCUUUUUGCUUUUCUGGUUCUUAGAUGUGAUUCUGUUACUCUGACAUUGUAUUCACAGAAAGUGCCUUGAGUCCUUAAGGAAAAGUAUAAGCUGGGUGCCAGUGGCUCAUGCUUGUAAUCCUGGCUGCUCAGGAGGAUCAUGGUGUGGAAGCAGCCUGGCUUCAAAUUGUGAGACUCUUCAAUUCACAGCCUCCCCCCAAAAACAAACAAGCAAAAAAGCAGGAACAGGAAGUAGAGCUAUGACUCAAGUGGUAGUGUCCUAGCUUUGAUAGAAAAAGGUCAAGGGAGAGAACCUAGGUCCUGAGUUCAAGCCCUAGGAGAGCAC
This is a long non-coding RNA of Perognathus longimembris pacificus (Pacific pocket mouse), 783 nucleotides long. RefSeq lists it as uncharacterized. NCBI's taxonomy places the organism in Eukaryota, Metazoa, Chordata, Mammalia, Rodentia, Heteromyidae. The transcript is spliced from 2 exons. The record is from RefSeq and is a predicted model, not a curated record.